RNA transcript from Amaranthus tricolor (Joseph's coat), 2155 nucleotides. RefSeq lists it as uncharacterized. The transcript is spliced from 3 exons. The record is from RefSeq and is a predicted model, not a curated record. Lineage: Eukaryota; Viridiplantae; Streptophyta; Magnoliopsida; Caryophyllales; Amaranthaceae.
GGUCAGUUUCUCUAAUUCUUCUAUUCAUUUUUCUUUUUUCUCUACAUUGUUUUGUAUUCUGAUCUGUUGUGUUUUUAUUAUUAAAGAAUCUUUGUUUAGCUUUUUUACAAUCACUAAAUGUACAUGUGAUUAUGAUGUGUCUAUUUUGUACAAAGAUCGUCAAAAUAAAUAAACGAAGGUUAUUGGAUAUGAUAGAUUUAUAUUUGAAGGGAUGAUAAUAAAGGAAUGUGCAACUGUGACAAUGAAUGCAACUUUUUUCUUUUUUGCUUUUUCUAGCUAAUUAAAACACACAAAAUAAUUUGAAUGGUUAUGUCUCUUCACUUGGAUUUGUUUCCAGCUACAAAGCCUCCAAUCAACAGUUCAGCACCCCCAUUUUCGUAUUUAUCUCACCAUAAAAAACUUGGUGUUGGAGUUUUUUGACAUGAGUGUGCACUGUAGCAUGUUAAGUUCGAUGUUCAGGACUUUAGGAGGUGGGUAUGUUUGAUGUUUGAUGUUUGUGUAUGAGUCAAGAUUAUGUGGAGGGGUAUAUGCUUGAACAAGGUACCAAAACGCCUUAAACUAGGCACCCAACCAGAUAUAAUAGAAUAUAGGACCUGAUAAUCUGUGCUUGAAGUAAUAGCAAUGAAAAUAGAUAUAGAAGAUGAUGAUUAUGAUGAUGAUGAAGAUCAUACCAGGACUCAUAGCUGUGUCAGAAUAGUUUGCUAGGCUUGUGUUAUAUUGAUUGUAAUGGGUUUGGUUUUUUUAAUGUUGGAUUCUGAUUUUCCAAAUCAUCAUUCCUCUACUGUGUUUCUUAUUUGUGCUUAGAUUUUUAUGCAUAUUUAACCACGAAUUUAGGUUCUACAACAUAGUAAAUUCAUAGGAUCAACCACAAACAGUUGCUCUAAGAUAUUAAAACCACAAACAGUUGCUUAGAUUUUCUGAUCUGAAUGUACUGCUGACUUCCUGGUUUUCCUACUGAUUUGUGCUUAUUUUUUCUAGUGAAUGUGCUACUGCUUUGAAUUUUCUACUGACCAUGAUGUUAUUUCCAAUCUGCUAUCUUUCAUAUUGUGAUGUUUCUGAAUGCACACUAAGACCAAAUCUAUAAGCAGCUUAGGUAUUAAGUGUAAGUGCACUUUAAGUAGACUAUUGAACUUAAUACUAAUGCCUUUCACACAAGUCAUCUUAAAAAAACACACACCAAAAUGUUAAUGCUUUACAACUAUUUAACUAAACUUAUUUAGCUAUGCCUUCUGCAUACAGAAGCAUAUAUCAAUAAUUAAUAACAAUAACAUGUGAAACAGUAACAUCAAAGAAGUAAUUGAGCAACUGAUUAACAUAUUCAUCCUUCAUCAUUAGUUGGGUCUACAUUACAAAGUUAAAUGCUGAUGAUGAAUGCUAGAUUCUACCAAUUACAUCCUACAUCUCAUAAAAUUCCAAAAUAAAAUGAAAAUCAUGUUUGAGGAAUCAAUAUUACUAUAACUCUUCUAUAAAGCUUAAACUUAUAUGUGAACAUAAACCUUUUAAAUAACAAGCAUAGAUCACCCUAUAUAAUCAAGACAUAUUAAACAAAAAGGCUUGAUGCUUCUAUGAAAUCCAAACAUGCAUCUCUUGUUUUGCAUUCAUACAGAUCAACAGAACCAUGAAGGAAAAGUUCUCUACAUUUAAUGAGCUAUCAGACAAAGCAAAUAUCCACAAGUUGAAGAUGGUCAUGUGAUGAAAGCCACGCUUUUUGAAGAUGAUAUUGAAGCAUACGCCGAUUUAAUCCAACAGAAUCAUGAAUACGUGAUCUCAAAUCCAACAAUCGGAAGUGUGGAUGAGAGUAUCUAACUACAUCUAGGGAAUACUAAAUGACCUUUAACAGCCGCACAACCAUCCCGCCCACAGGUUUUGCAGUUCAGAAAGUUGGACCGAGCUAUUUUUCCAUUGCAACAAUUCCCUGUAUUUCCAACGCUUGUGAUAGAUUUGAUAUUUUGGGUAUUAUCUUCUUCAUUGGAGAUAGUCGCACUGUUAAUGGAGCAUAUGACCAGAAGAAUACUGUUUGUGAAAUUAUGAUUACUGAUCAUAGGUAUUAUCUUACGGUAUACAACUUUGUGAAGCACAUUUCUUUACUUACUUUUGUUAUAUUGAUCAAUAACCUUUUCUUACUAUUAUUUAUUCAAUAAUGUAGCUCGGAUCA